Macrobrachium nipponense is the source of this 1712-nucleotide long non-coding RNA. RefSeq lists it as uncharacterized. The record is from RefSeq and is a predicted model, not a curated record. Lineage: Eukaryota; Metazoa; Arthropoda; Malacostraca; Decapoda; Palaemonidae. The transcript is spliced from 2 exons.
AUAUCGGAAGAAUCGCGCCUUUUAUCUUUAAAAGAAAAUAUUGUCCAUUAGAAAUAUAUGCUUGCUCUUUAAUUUGCCUGUUCCAUAUUUUCCAAUAAUAACUUACUCACUCUGGUUAAUUGCUUCGUGAAGUUAAGAAUGGAAUGUCAGUCCGUUACAAGUCAAGCAUGGAGGAUAUUUUUCAUUGUUGGCUCCAGUUUAACCUUUUCUCGGGGAGUGGAAAAGAGGGACUCUUCCCGCCCAAACUUGGUUACACCAAGAGUUACACCACGAUACGAAACGAGUCCCGGUGCUGCUGCUGCUGCUGCUGCUGCUGCGAGAGGGCAUUAAAACCUCCAAACCACUAGACCGAAUCAUCACACUCUAAACCGUAUCGGUGGAGCUUGGAACUACAAUCAAAGUCACUCGUCCUCCUCUCUCCCUCUCUCGAGAUGCCUCGCCCAUGUCACACGAAGGUGGAACUCUGCGAGAUCGCAGCAGUGCUUUGCGUGGCCAUUCUGCCAACGGUGUUGGUGGCAGUUAUAGUCUAUCAUUAUGGCCAACCGCUGGAUAAUGGGAUCAUGAGCGUUGCGCUCAUGAUAUUCGCAGCCGUCAUAGUCUUGUGGAUUGUGACUCGUAUCUGCAGAUCGAGGACGGACGCCAGUCAAGAUCGGGUUGGCCUCGUGAGCGACCCCGAAGCCCUUGUCGAAGAAGUCAUCACAAAAUCUCCGGGAGUUAACAACCAGACACCCAUUUUCACUCCCAUAACAUCAAACCUGCUGCAACAUCACAUCAACCCGAAAAAUGCAGCGCCCUGUAACAUUCUACCUUUCCCAGCGAAUACCAAGACACCUGCUGACUUUUCUGUGAAUAACUGCCUACACGUCUGAGUACCACCAGUCCACCACUGGAAAAGGUACUAACUGCGUCUAGAGGCUCUUACGCGUGAAUCACGAGCCGUCAGGUUUCAUUUUCAUGAAUGCAGAGUACAGGAAUUUGCGUCGCGAGCAGGAGGAUUUCCUGACCAUUGCACCUUCAUUAUGCCGUAUAGUAAACCUUGGUCAACACGAGGAUUAUACGGAAACCCAAGGAUAUCGAUAAUCACUACUUUCGACAAUGCUGUCUUCGUUUAGCAGGUACCGUAAGGCAGUUUAUGGAUAGAUAGUGAUGUUGAUUUCCCACGCAUUGGCUUGAAGAAUAGAGCAGUUGGAGGAAAAAAUAAUGGAGAACGCUUUAGUGGAUGGAGAUCGCCUAGUGCGUCGUACUUAUCGCCAGGAUCUUUCGUUAGACUAUACUAGAACAUGUACAUGUGAUAAAUACGUAAGCUUUACGUGUACCAUGGUGCUACAUUAAUGUAUUUUGUACAUAACGCAAGAAUAAACCUUUUAAUAUAGAAAAGUGCAUUGCAAGUGAGAAUCCUAGUCAUACUGCAUUAGAAACCUACAUUAUGAUGAUAGUACUAACUACUUCUAGGCACUAAUCUGAAAAAUAAUGUUUAAUUAACUAAUGAUAUCUGAUUUGUUUUCUCCCGUGUGGCUUUUUAAAGCAAGUCGACCGUUUUAACGACGUACCCAUUUUUCGAAAAACAUGCCUCUUCUGUAAGUGCAAAUACCGUCACAACGAGGGCACCUACUUGGGAAUGUCAUAGGAGCCCAAAACCAUCAAGUGUUAUGCUGUGUUCAUCUCGUUGUUUUUACGUGAACUGUUUCAAAAAAUAUAUCUAUAUUUGUUAA